Molecule: transfer RNA, 86 nt
Filed under: uncultured archaeon
Lineage: Archaea
Description: tRNA-Ser(gct)
Rfam family: tRNA
About the family: Transfer RNA (tRNA) molecules are approximately 80 nucleotides in length. Their secondary structure includes four short double-helical elements and three loops (D, anti-codon, and T loops). Further hydrogen bonds mediate the characteristic L-shaped molecular structure. tRNAs have two regions of fundamental functional importance: the anti-codon, which is responsible for specific mRNA codon recognition, and the 3' end, to which the tRNAs corresponding amino acid is attached (by aminoacyl-tRNA synthetases). tRNAs cope with the degeneracy of the genetic code in two manners: having more than one tRNA (with a specific anti-codon) for a particular amino acid; and 'wobble' base-pairing, i.e. permitting non-standard base-pairing at the 3rd anti-codon position.
Source: RNAcentral
GCUGAGGUAGCCUAAUCUGGUAAGGCGCAGGUUUGCUAAACCUGUGUCCCAAAAGGACCUGUGGGUUCAAAUCCCACCCUCAGCGC